RNAcentral lists this transfer RNA (62 nucleotides) under Onisimus nanseni. RNAcentral's name for it is "tRNA-Leu". Lineage: Eukaryota; Metazoa; Arthropoda; Malacostraca; Amphipoda; Lysianassidae. The record is from RNAcentral.
ACUAAAGUAACUAAAAUAAGAAAACAGGCUUAAGACUUGUAAAUGGGUUUUCCCCUUUAGUA